AUGCUACGUUUCUAUCUGUUUCCUCAAGCUAGCUACUCACUUCUCAGCCGAGGCACAAUGCAGGGAGACGGAGCUCCUUCAUCUUUUAUUCUGAUUGAUCCGGGUUCAUCUUACCCAGUAACACUAAAGCGAUCUGGAGAGGAAACCAGAGUUUUGUCCAGCCUCCGUUACUAUUUCUGUAACGACGGAUGCCAGGCGAGGCCGAUGCGCGUCCCUCUCCAGUGCCGGUCCCCACCAGCCCGGGGCUGCUCCAGUUCCGCUGCCAGCGUCCCAGGAGGGAGGAUGAAAAUAUCGGUGGAUGCCCAGGGGACGACGAGUUGCCGCUGCCAUGAAGUACUUGUGCCCGUUGCAGUGGUGCUUUCCCUGGUGCCCUCCCAGCCUUGGCGCUUCGUGCCUCCCACCAGCCAAAAUCUGGGUGCUGCAGGGAAAAGAUGGGAAGAGGUUUACUGAGCUUUGAAUGGCAGAAUCAAAGGAAUUAAUUACUCUUUAUAAAUAAACAGAAAAUAUUUAUGAUGGCUUGCA
This 522-nucleotide long non-coding RNA is filed under the name Anser cygnoides (Swan goose). RNAcentral's name for it is "lncRNA (ENSACDG00005015630.1)". The record is from RNAcentral. Lineage: Eukaryota; Metazoa; Chordata; Aves; Anseriformes; Anatidae.